Molecule: small RNA, 4244 nt
Filed under: Pan troglodytes (chimpanzee)
Lineage: Eukaryota; Metazoa; Chordata; Mammalia; Primates; Hominidae
Description: retained intron
Source: RNAcentral
CUUCUGGGCCACAGCCGCAGCAAUGGCGCUGAGUUCCUCUGCUGGAGUUCAUCCUGCUAGCUGGGUUCCCGAGCUGCCGGUCUGAGCCUGAGGCAUGGAGCCUCCUGGAGACUGGGGGCCUCCUCCCUGGAGAUCCACCCGCAAAACCGACGUCUUGAGGCUGGUGCUGUAUCUCACCUUCCUGGGAGCCCCCUGCUACGCCCCAGCUCUGCCGUCCUGCAAGGAGGACGAGUACCCAGUGGGCUCCGAGUGCUGCCCCAAGUGCAGUCCAGGUUAUCGUGUGAAGGAGGCCUGCGGGGAGCUGACGGGCACAGUGUGUGAACCCUGCCCUCCGGGGACCUACAUUGCCCACCUCAAUGGCCUGAGCAAGUGUCUGCAGUGCCAAAUGUGUGACCCAGGUAAGAGGCCAGCACAGCCGGCCCAGCCUCCGCUUGGGCAGCCUGGAUGCCCCCGCACGCUGCACCCUCUCUCCAUGGCCGCAGUGCCCCAGGAAGGCCCCGGCUGCCCCAGGCCAGGUCCCAACCCCAUCUCCAUGGAUGCACCCUGCAGGGGACCCCUUGAGGUCAGCCUCUGGCCCCCGUCCACCUCUGUCUCACCUCUCACUUUGUCACGUGGGCCGCCAGGUGGGCCGUCCUGAGCUUGGCGACUGACCCUUAGCCCUUGUCCUUGGCUCCUCUGGUGCCCUGGGUGGGUGCCCAGACCUCUCCUGUGCCCACGUCCCUAGCUGCAAAGUGGAAUGGGAUGGUGCUGGGACUCUCCGGCCGGCACUCGGGCCUGCUGCUUCCCCACAGGGCUUCUUGUCCCUUUCUCCUCCAGAUAUUGGUUCCCCCCGUGACCUCAGGGGAAGAGGUCACCUGGAGGCUGGUGCCCAACUGAGUCCAGGCAGACAGAAAGGGGAACCAGACCCAGAGGUGUGCCUUUGAGUCACUGAGCACAGAGCCUGUCCAUGCGGCCAAUGGCUCUGUCCCCUUGGAGCCUCAUGCCAGGCUCAGCAUGGCCAGUGCUCCCUGGGGCCAGGCAGGACUGCACCUGCAGGGCAGGGCUGACGGCACACCUGGGGGCAGGGCCUGAGCCUACAGGGAGGCACAGGGCAGGUGGGCUAGCCAUGAACAGAAGAGGAAGCUGGAGUGCUUUGGGGGUUCAUGCAUGUAGGCUGGGAUUUGGGGCUCACACCUCAACCUGCAUGCCCAGUUCCAUGCCCCUCCCCUCUUGUGAAAGCACCUGAUUGGGCUAAGGAUGUGGGGGCACAGGUGGCAGGUGAGGCUGCCCUCAGGAGGGGCCCAGGCCCAGCUUGUACCCCCCCUCCACCAGUACCUGAAGAAGUGGGGCUCUCACCCUACCUGCCUCUGCCAUUGGAAUGGCCUGGUUUGCACAGAUGGGAAGCCCAUUUGAGGGGUGGGUAUCUGGGUGGGCACGUGGGGCGAGGACCUGCCUGAGGGACCCUGCCCUGGAACUGACAGUGCAAGCUCGGCGUCCUGCCCAUCUGGGCAGAAGGCUGGUUUCUCCCAUCAACGAAGCCCUCCCAGGACCUUCCUGCAAGCCCUCGUCCCACACGCAGCUCUGCCGUCCCUUGGUGUCCCUCCCGGCCUCAGGUCCUCCAUGCUGGGUACCUCCGGGCACCUCGUUUGGCUGAGCCAGGGGUUCAGCCUGGCAGGGCGCCCUGGCAGCAGUCCUUGGCCUGUGGAUGCUGUCCUGGCCUGUGGAUGGUGUCCCGGCCUCCACGUACCCCUCUCAGCCCCUCCUCUUGGACUCCAGCCAUGGGCCUGCGCGCGAGCCGGAACUGCUCCAGGACAGAGAACGCCGUGUGUGGCUGCAGCCCAGGCCACUUCUGCAUUGUCCAGGACGGGGACCACUGCGCCGCGUGCCGCGCUUACGCCACCUCCAGCCCGGGCCAGAGUGUGCAGAAGGGAGGCACCGAGAGUCAGGACACCCUGUGUCAGAACUGCCCCCCGGGGACCUUCUCUCCCAAUGGGACCCUGGAGGAAUGUCAGCACCAGACCAACCGAGCUUGGAAAAGUCAGACAGACCUCUGAGGUCUCAUCCUGGAGCUGCCACCAGCCCAGCCUCCCUGGGACCUGUCUUCACUGCCUGGGGCCCUGGGAGCCAGGGAGGCUCCCUGGGGCUGAGUGAACACCGGGCGCUGCACCUGCCUCUCCCACGUCCUCGGCCCCACUCCCGCAGGUGCAGCUGGCUGGUGACGAAGGCCGGACCUGGGACCAGCAGCUCCCACUGGGUAUGGUGGUUUCUCUCAGGGAGCCUCGUCAUCGUCAUUGUUUGCUCCACACUUGGCCUAAUCAUAUGUGUGAAAAGAAGAAAGCCAAGGGGUGAGCACAUGGCGGCCCCAUCAGGGCUCAUGUCCCCAGCCGUCGCCUCUUGGAGCUCUGUCACCCCAAGCCUGGGAGGUGGCCCCAGAGCUUUUCCAGGAUCCGCGGCUCCUCACAGGGCAGCCACUGCAGGCUGGGGCAGGUGGGCUUUCUGCUGUGGCCAGAGCCCAGGUGUCAGCUGGCCUCCCUGGGGGAAGGGAAGGUGGGACCCCUGACCGUGGAGCCCUCAGCCACCCCUGCCCACACACUCUAUGACCCUGUGCUCCUGCCUGCCCCCUGUGGGAUGUGGGGAGCAGGACAGGCUCUGCUCAGCUGGGAGAAGCUCUGGGCUGAGGGUCAACAGCCGCCCUGCUGGGGACAAGGCUUUGUCCUCAUUGAGGAGAGUAAGGCCAUUCAUUCAUUCAUUCAUUCAUCCACCUAUCCGCCCUGGUCUGGGCACCUGUGCUGUGCCUGGCCUCCUGGGCACUGACCCCGCUGUGUGGACCCGGCUGUGGCCCUGGAAGCCCUGUGCGCAGCCCCCGGGGAUGCAGCUUCUAAGCAUUGAGGUCCGAAGGGAAAGUCAGCCCCAUCCUCCAGCCAGGCGGCAGCAAAGCCACCUGAUCCUCACCCGGGGCCUCCAAUGCGGGGAGGUCUCGGGGCCUCAGGCUCUAGGGUAGGCCGGGCAGCAGCUUAGUCUCACCCAACUGGGCACCUGCGGGUAUGGUGGGCAGGGCCUCUCCACUGUGAAGCGCUUGUUCCCCUCCCAUAGAUGACGGCUGAAUUAGGGUUAGUUAUGCACUUGGGGGCCUCAGCUGGGGAGGUGGGCCGGGCGCCCCCAGUCCUAUCACCCAUGCUGGGCCUCCUGGGGACAGGCUGGGCUAGCAGUCCCAACACAGUUGGCCUCCUCUGCUCUCAGAGAGGGUCAGUCCCUUGGGGACGGUCUCCCAGGGAGAAGCAGGAGUUGUGCCUCCGCCACCGCUGUGAGACCAUUGCCAUGAGCCUGUGUCCCCUGAUCAGACACUGCCCCUCCCUGACCUGUGUGUCUGUGUAUUGCAGGUGAUGUAGUCAAGGUGAUCGUCUCCGUCCAGGUAUUGAUCCUCUUCCCCCUCUCCCUCCCCCCUCCACCUUCCCCCCUCCCCCCUCCCCGCUGGGGCUGGUGUUUCUGGUGUACAUGGUGGGGGCUCCCAGUUCUCUGAGGGUCCUGAGUCUUUCAAGUACAGCCACGGUAGCUCAGGAAAGAACCCACUCCCUCAAACUGAAAGCAGUAAAAUGAACCCGAGAACCUGGAGUCCCAGGGGGGCCUGAGCAGGCAGGGUCUCCACGAUUCGUGUGCCCGCAGCGGAAAAGACAGGAGGCAGAAGGUGAGGCCACAGUCAUCGAGGCCCUGCAGGCCCCUCCGGACGUCACCACGGUGGCCGUGGAGGAGACAAUACCCGCAUUCACGGGGAGGAGCCCAAACCACUGACCCACAGACUCUGCACCCCGAUGCCAGAGAUACCUGGAGCGACGGCUGCUGAAAGAGGCUGUCCACCUGGCGGAACCAGCGGAGCCCGGAGGCUUGGGGGCUCCGCCCUGGGCUGGCUUCCGUGUCCUCCAGUGGAGGGAGAGGUGGGGCCCCUGCUGGGGUAGAGCUGGGGACGCCACGUGCCAUUCCCAUGGGCCAGUGAGGGCCUGGGGCCUCUGUUCUGCUGUGGCCUGAGCUCCCCAGAGUCCUGAGGAGGAGCGCCAGUUGCCCCUCGCUCACAGACCACACACCCAGCCCUCCUGGGCCAGCCCAGAGGGCCCUUCAGACCCCAGCUGUCUGCGCAUCUGACUCUUGUGGCCUCGGCAGGACAGGCCCCGGGCACUGCCUCACGGCCAAGGCUGGACUGGGUUGGCCGCAGUGUGGUGUUAAGUGGAUACCACAUCUGAAGUGAUUUUCUGAAUUGGAUUUGAAUUCGG